RNAcentral lists this ribosomal RNA (446 nucleotides) under uncultured bacterium. RNAcentral describes it as "partial 16S ribosomal RNA". It matches the Rfam family "Bacterial small subunit ribosomal RNA", at positions 338 to 795 of the family's 1533-position model. The record is from RNAcentral.
CCUACGGUCGGCAGCAGUCGAGAAUCAUUCACAAUGGGGGAAACCCUGAUGGUGCGACGCCGCGUGGGGGAAUGAAGGUCUUCGGAUUGUAAACCCCUGUCAUGUGGGAGCAAAUUAAAAAGAUAGUACCACAAGAGGAAGAGACGGCUAACUCUGUGCCAGCAGCCGCGGUAAUACAGAGGUCUCAAGCGUUGUUCGGAAUCACUGGGCGUAAAGCGUGCGUAGGCUGUUUCGUAAGUCGUGUGUGAAAGGCGCGGGCUCAACCCGCGGACGGCACAUGAUACUGCGAGACUAGAGUAAUGGAGGGGGAACCGGAAUUCUCGGUGUAGCAGUGAAAUGCGUAGAUAUCGAGAGGAACACUCGUGGCGAAGGCGGGUUCCUGGACAUUAACGGACGCUGAGGCACGAAGGCCAGGGGAGCGAAAGGGAUUAGAUACCCCAGUAGUC